This 713-nucleotide long non-coding RNA is filed under the name Rattus norvegicus (Norway rat). RNAcentral describes it as "long non-coding RNA NONRATT011288". Lineage: Eukaryota; Metazoa; Chordata; Mammalia; Rodentia; Muridae. The record is from RNAcentral.
CCAGGGCUCCGAGCCCGGGCUGCUCAGAGCAAGCAGUCCUCCGGGCGGGUCUGAGGUAGUGGAGGCUCCAUCUUCUCCUCCUCCGCCCUCAAAAGUAAACUUUGCCACUCUGCUCGCGGGGUCCUCAGUUCUCCUCGCAGUGCCUCCGGGCGGCGGGGGCCGGCGUCAGGGCCUGUCUGCCUCCCCGGGCGUGGGGCCUUGGGCGCCAUGGACGCGUCGGCGCUGGAGCGGGACGCCGUGCAGUUCGCGCGGCUGGCAGUGCAGCGCGACCACGAAGGCCGCUACUCUGAGGCGGUGUUUUACUACAAGUUCAGUCAAAAAGUACUGAUCCUUUGAAAUCAAAACAUCAGUUGGAUCUAGAGCGCGCCCACUUUCUUGUUACACAAGCUUUCGAUGAGGAUGAGAAGGGGAAUGUGGAAGAUGCCAUAGAGUUGUAUACAGAAGCCGUGGACCUCUGUCUGAAAACCUCUUAUGAAACUGCCGAUAAGACUCUGCAAAAUAAAUUGAAACAGUUGGCUCGACAGGCACUCGAUAGAGCAGAAGCAUUGAGUGAACCUUUGACAAAGCCAUUUUGCAAACUCAAGUCAACAAAUAUGAAAACAAAGACUCCUCCAGUAAGAACACAUUUUCCUCUAGGACCGAAUCCUUUCCUUGAAAAGCCUCAGCCGUUUAUAAGUCCACAGUCAUGUGAUGCACAAGGACAGAAGUACACG